This is a long non-coding RNA of Panicum virgatum (switchgrass), 342 nucleotides long. RefSeq lists it as uncharacterized. The record is from RefSeq and is a predicted model, not a curated record. The transcript has 2 exons. Lineage: Eukaryota; Viridiplantae; Streptophyta; Magnoliopsida; Poales; Poaceae.
AUUUGCUGUUUUGUUCUAAGUUUUCCCUUUCCUGUGAGGAUUGUACCUAAAAUGGUUUCUUCCAAGAAGACGUUUGCUCGGAGAAAGUUCAAUAAUUAUUGAAGCUCAUUUGAAGUUCAUGAUGUUCAUCAAUAGUCAUUUAAGCAGAAGUCCCUGGCUGGAAAUAAGGAUGCAGAUUAGAUAAUUAUGGUGACUUUAGAGAUAGUUGUCGAUUGAUAUGAAUGACUUCAAAAGAUUGUGUAUGUGUAUGUGUAUCUGUAAUGUAUAUAUGGAUAGAUCCUAUAUAUUUAUGAUGUAAAUAAGACCUAUUUCAUGUCCUAUUUUUCUAUUUUUUUGUUUUUU